CACAUGGUUCCCACUCUUGAAAGGCAAAUGGACCCUUUGGGACUUCUUUAAAGAACAAAAACAUUCUCUCCCUCCACCAACUUUUUUGUGUGGGAAAUUUGGGUACUCCACCACUACCUCUUUUGCCACCAUAUCUUGACCUUAGAAAAUUCACUGUCAAGAAUUCUCUUCUUGGAUAAGCCAGUUCGAAAGCCCUUGACAGUAAUUACUGAUUUGGGGCUGGAGAGACUGGAGAAAGAUCCCUUCCCCAUUCCUGCUGCAUUUCAGAAGAAAGGUGCAAGGGAAAAGGGGCGGCAGAGGAAGAGGAGGAGGUGAACAAGUCCAGACCAGGUUUGUCAGCUCAUUGAAGAGUGGCUUCUCAGGCAAGAGUCCCAGCCAAGCAAAUUGUUCCAGGGUCCCAGAAAUCUAUCCUUUAAGAGUGAACAAGAUUCUCCAAGUCAUUUCAUCUCAGUGUAACCUUAGCUUCUUCAAGCUAUUCAAGAAUUGUUUUUGUCCUCUUAAUGAGGACUGUGAGCAUGUCCAAACUUGAUAGUAAGGGU
Vombatus ursinus (common wombat) is the source of this 539-nucleotide long non-coding RNA. RefSeq lists it as uncharacterized. The transcript is spliced from 3 exons. The record is from RefSeq and is a predicted model, not a curated record. Lineage: Eukaryota; Metazoa; Chordata; Mammalia; Diprotodontia; Vombatidae.